CAGUCGCCGCAGUAAUACGGAGGGAGCUAGCGUUGUUCGGAAUUACUGGGCGUAAAGCGCGCGUAGGCGGUUACUCAAGUCAGAGGUGAAAGCCCGGGGCUCAACCCCGGAACUGCCUUUGAAACUAGGUGACUAGAAUCUUGGAGAGGUCAGUGGAAUUCCGAGUGUAGAGGUGAAAUUCGUAGAUAUUCGGAAGAACACCAGUGGCGAAGACGACUGACUGGACAAGUAUUGACGCUGAGGUGCGAAAGCGUGGGGAGCAAACAGGAUUAGAUACCCCUGUAGUUCCUGUCUCUUAUAC
This 301-nucleotide ribosomal RNA is filed under the name uncultured bacterium. Its description in RNAcentral is "partial 16S ribosomal RNA". It matches the Rfam family "Bacterial small subunit ribosomal RNA", at positions 509 to 807 of the family's 1533-position model. The record is from RNAcentral.